UUGGAGGGCAAGUCUGGUGCCAGCAGCCGAGGUAAUUCCAGCUCCAAUAGCGUAUAUUAAAGUUGUUGCAGUUAAAAAGCUCGUAGUUGAAUUUCGGGAUCAAUAUAUCGGUCGUGCCUUGGUACGUACUGGUAUCAUUGGUUUCUCCUUUCUGACGAACCAUGAUGUCAUUAAUUUGGUGUUAUGGGAAGUUAGGACUGUUACUUUGAAAAAAUUAGAGUGUUUAAAGCAGGCUUUAGCUUGAAUACAUUAGCAUGGAAUAAUGAAAUAGGACGUUCGAACCUAUUUUGUUGGUUUCUAGGAUCAACGUAAUGAUUAAUAGGGAUAGUUGGGGGCAUUAGUAUUCAAUUGUCAGAGGUGAAAUUCUUGGAUUUAUUGAAGACUAACUACUGCGAAAGCAUUUGCCAAGGAUGUUUUCAUUAAUCAAGAACGAAAGUUAGGGGAUCGAAGACGAUCAGAUACCGUCGUAGUCUUAACCAUAAACUAUGCCGACUAGGGAUCGGAUGAUGUUAAUUUUUUAAUGACUCAUUCGGCGCCUUACGGGAAAC
Molecule: ribosomal RNA, 548 nt
Filed under: uncultured Glomus
Lineage: Eukaryota; Fungi; Glomeromycota; Glomeromycetes; Glomerales; Glomeraceae
Description: SSU rRNA
Rfam family: Eukaryotic small subunit ribosomal RNA
Source: RNAcentral